Molecule: ribosomal RNA, 354 nt
Filed under: uncultured bacterium
Lineage: Bacteria
Description: bacterial SSU rRNA
Rfam family: Bacterial small subunit ribosomal RNA
Source: RNAcentral
AGAGUUUGAUCAUGGCUCAGGAUGAACGCUAGCUACAGGCUUAACACAUGCAAGUCGAGGGGAAACGACAUCGAAAGCUUGCUUUUGAUGGGCGUCGACCGGCGCACGGGUGAGUAACGCGUAUCCAACCUGCCCAUCACUUGGGGAUAACCUUGCGAAAGUAAGACUAAUACCCAAUGAUAUCUCUAGAAGGCAUCUGAAAGAGAUUAAAGAUUUAUCGGUGAUGGAUGGGGAUGCGUCUGAUUAGCUUGUUGGCGGGGUAACGGCCCACAAAGCAACGAUCAGUAGGGGUUCUGAGAGGAAGGUCCCCCAANAUUGGAACUGAGACACGGUCCAAACGUCCUACGGGAGGCA